Molecule: ribosomal RNA, 416 nt
Filed under: uncultured bacterium
Lineage: Bacteria
Description: bacterial SSU rRNA
Rfam family: Bacterial small subunit ribosomal RNA
Source: RNAcentral
UAUUGGUCAAUGGCCGGAAGGCUGAACCAGCCAAGUCGCGUGAGGGACGACUGCCCUAUGGGUUGUAAACCUCUUUUAUAAGGGAAGAAUAAGUGCUACGUGUAGCAUGAUGCCUGUACCUUAUGAAUAAGCAUCGGCUAACUCCGUGCCAGCAGCCGCGGUAAUACGGAGGAUGCGUGCGUUAUCCGGAUUUAUUGGGUUUAAAGGGUGCGUAGGCGGUUUUUUAAGUUAGUGGUUAAACGUCGGGGCUUCACCUUGAUUUGCCAUUAAUACUGUAAGACUCGAGUUCAGACGAGGUAGGCGGAAUAAGUUAAGUAGCGGUGAAAUGCUUAGAUAUAACUUAGAACUCCGAUAGCGAAGGCAGCUUACCAGACUGCGACUGACGCUGAAGCACGAGAGCGUGGGUAGCGAACAGG